Molecule: non-coding RNA, 106 nt
Filed under: Nephroselmis pyriformis
Lineage: Eukaryota; Viridiplantae; Chlorophyta; Nephroselmidophyceae; Nephroselmidales; Nephroselmidaceae
Source: RNAcentral
CCUUGGAAAGUCCCCUCGCCCUCGAGCGGAAAGACCCCGCGCUGCACGCGACCGAUCGGAUCUUGUUCUCGUUGACAAUGGAAGCGCGGUGAGCGGCCGUGGGGGC